AGUGGAGAAGUUUUAUCUCAUC
RNAcentral lists this microRNA (22 nucleotides) under Lingula anatina. RNAcentral's name for it is "Lan-Mir-1175_5p* (star (passenger))". The record is from RNAcentral. Lineage: Eukaryota; Metazoa; Brachiopoda; Lingulata; Lingulida; Lingulidae.